Long non-coding RNA from Pezoporus occidentalis (night parrot), 1232 nucleotides. RefSeq lists it as uncharacterized. The record is from RefSeq and is a predicted model, not a curated record. The transcript is spliced from 3 exons. Lineage: Eukaryota; Metazoa; Chordata; Aves; Psittaciformes; Psittacidae.
CCUUCCACCACUGCUCCACAGCUAGCAUCCAGAAAUGGCCAUAAAAAUAGAUAAAGAUGUGUUGUUUCUGUGCCUGGGGCAAGAGGCAGGGCCAUCUCCAGGGAGCACAUGGCACAGUCUGUCACAUGUUGCUGUCUUCUUGUGCUGUGCUAGCCACGUGUCAGCCUGGUUUCCCCCUGAAUGACAGCAGAAAUCCAGAGGAGCAUUCCACGUGCUGGCAGGGGCUUUCCAGGGCUUUUUGAGUACAGUUUAAGGGCUGCUGCUGACUGUCAGGGAGUCUCUUACUCUCUGAAGAUGCUGCUUGGGAGGUCCAGACUGGAUAUUAGAAAGCAUUUCCUUACUGAAAGGGGGGUCAGAUUCUUCGACUUCUUGACGAGGUGGUUGUUGCCCCAUCUCUAUCAGUGUUUAAGAGGCCUGCUUGCUUGCUGGCCAUCUUACAUAGCAUCCGCCCCUCUCCAUGGCCUAAUCCCUGAGCUGGACCUGGUGCAGAAGCAGAACUGUGAUGAGGAUUGUCUUAAUGGGUGGAGCUGGAGAGCAAACUCUCACAGAAGCAUGGAUAUACACAAAUGUCCUGCUGCUGGAUGUCUACCUUGUAAGUCCCAGAUCCUGAUGCUGUGCUCUUCAGAUCCAGUCCUUUACACUGAACUGGUGAGUAUAUGGAGGUAAGUGGCUUUAUUUAGUAGCAUUUUUAUAUUCUACAUAUCUCUGUUGCUUUUAGCAGUUGUUCUGACCUGGCUAUCAAGAAUAAAGUAAUAAGAAAUUGUGCUCUGGAGUCUGAGUGCCUCCCAUAGGAGUCUCUCUCCUUGAGGGAAAGGAGUAGAUUAAGAGAAAUUAACAUCUUAAUACUUUGCCCUUUGGCCACUGAUAUCUACUGUUACAGCUUUAGGCAAGUUCAGCCUUCUUCACUCAUUCAGUGCAGAGCAGCAGAAGGGAGCAGACAGAUAUAGGUAUUUAUUAAGAAUCAGGCUUCUUGCUUGCAGCUUGUUCCAGCCCCACUUAAAAGAGCACGCAAAUGGGAAUAUUGGGAGUCACUGAACCAAUACUCUGUACUGGCUGUGAUGUACUGUCAGGUGCUAGUAGGAAAUGCUUAAAGAAGGACCAUGUGGAGAGGGCAAAAGCAGACUGAUGUGGCCCCAAGUAAACCUUCCAGGUUUGGGGCAAUAGCCUGUUCCUGAACAAAGGGAUGUGAUUAGACCCAUUGCUGGAAUAGCUACACAGAGGUCUAGUGCCUU